UCGACGCCACGACGCCAGGCAGCGACAAG
This 29-nucleotide small RNA is filed under the name Bombyx mori (domestic silkworm). Its description in RNAcentral is "ovarian small RNA-28311". Lineage: Eukaryota; Metazoa; Arthropoda; Insecta; Lepidoptera; Bombycidae. The record is from RNAcentral.